Molecule: ribosomal RNA, 466 nt
Filed under: uncultured bacterium
Lineage: Bacteria
Description: partial 16S ribosomal RNA
Rfam family: Bacterial small subunit ribosomal RNA
Source: RNAcentral
GAUGAACGCUGGCGGCGUGCUUAACACAUGCAAGUCGAACGAUGAAGCCCAGCUUGCUGGGUGGAUUAGUGGCGAACGGGUGAGUAACACGUGAGUAACCUGCCCUUGACUCUGGGAUAAGCGCUGGAAACGGCGUCUAAUACCGGAUACGAGCUUCCACCGCAUGGUGAGUUGCUGGAAAGAAUUUCGGUCAAGGAUGGACUCGCGGCCUAUCAGGUAGUUGGUGAGGUAACGGCUCACCAAGCCGACGACGGGUAGCCGGCCUGAGAGGGUGACCGGCCACACUGGGACUGAGACACGGCCCAGACUCCUACGGGAGGCAGCAGUGGGGAAUAUUGCACAAUGGGCGCAAGCCUGAUGCAGCUACGCCGCGUGAGGGACGAAGGCCUUCGGGUCGUAAACCUCUUUUAGCAGGGAAGAAGCGAAAGUGACGGUACCUGCAGAAAAAGCACCGGCUAACUACGUG